Molecule: ribosomal RNA, 649 nt
Filed under: uncultured bacterium
Lineage: Bacteria
Description: bacterial SSU rRNA
Rfam family: Bacterial small subunit ribosomal RNA
Source: RNAcentral
CAGGCCUAACACAUGCAAGUCGGGCGGUAGCAGGAAGUGCUUGCACUUUGCUGACGAGCGGCGGACGGGUGCGUAACACGUAGGAAUCUGCCUGGUAGUGGGGGAUAGCCCGGAGAAAUCCGGAUUAAUACCGCAUACGCCUUACGAGGGAAAGCAGGGGAUCUUCGGACCUUGCGCUAUCAGAUGAGCCUGCGUCGGAUUAGCUGGUUGGUGGGGUAAAGGCCUACCAAGGCGACGAUCCGUAGCUGGUCUGAGAGGAUGAUCAGCCACACUGGGACUGAGACACGGCCCAGACUCCUACGGGAGGCAGCAGUGGGGAAUAUUGCACAAUGGGCGAAAGCCUGAUGCAGCCAUGCCGCGUGUGUGAAGAAGGCCCUAGGGUUGUAAAGCACUUUCAGCGAGGAGGAAAGGUUAAAGGUUAAUACCCUUUGGCUGUGACGUUACUCGCAGAAGAAGCACCGGCUAACUCCGUGCCAGCAGCCGCGGUAAUACGGAGGGUGCGAGCGUUAAUCGGAAUUACUGGGCGUAAAGCGUGCGUAGGCGGCCUUUUAAGUUGGAUGUGAAAGCCCCGGGCUCAACCCGGGAACUGCAUCCAAAACUGGAAGGCUCGAGUGCGGGAGAGGAGUGUGGAAUUUCCUGUGUAGCGGUG